RNAcentral lists this long non-coding RNA (274 nucleotides) under Brassica napus (rape). Its description in RNAcentral is "long non-coding RNA (BNAP_LNC021499)". The record is from RNAcentral. Lineage: Eukaryota; Viridiplantae; Streptophyta; Magnoliopsida; Brassicales; Brassicaceae.
ACUGUAAAGUGGUUGAUUCGCCGCGUUUAACAUUUCGUAAAACUUUUUCGCAUCUAUAUUAGGUUCUUCAUCUUCAUCAUGAGCUACGAAUGCAUCAGCUACCAUAUCAUGAACCCUAUCAUAAUCUACCAUCUCCUCCUGAUGGUAACUAUGUUCAUUAUGUAAAUGACGAUCAACCGGUUCUUUUUCCUGAAAAUUGCUAUUACUACUACUAGCUUCGUUCUGAACAUAAUUAAAACCUUCUCCAUGUUGAAACCAGAUAUAGUAAUUUGGC